Molecule: ribosomal RNA, 962 nt
Filed under: uncultured Cryomorphaceae bacterium
Lineage: Bacteria; Pseudomonadati; Bacteroidota; Flavobacteriia; Flavobacteriales; Cryomorphaceae
Description: bacterial SSU rRNA
Rfam family: Bacterial small subunit ribosomal RNA
Source: RNAcentral
AUGCAAGUCGAGGGGCAGCACGAAUUAGCUUGCUAAUUUGGUGGCGACCGGCGCACGGGUGCGUAACGCGUAUGCAACCUACCUUAUACAGGGGUAUAGCCCGGAGAAAUUCGGAUUAAUCCCCCAUGGUACUGAUUGACCGCAUGGUUAAUCAGUUAAAGCUUCGGCGGUAUAAGAUGGGCAUGCGUCCUAUUAGCUAGAUGGUAAGGUAACGGCUUACCAUGGCUACGAUAGGUAGGGGGCCUGAGAGGGUGACCCCCCACACUGGUACUGAGACACGGACCAGACUCCUACGGGAGGCAGCAGUGAGGAAUAUUGGUCAAUGGGCGCAAGCCUGAACCAGCCAUGCCGCGUGCAGGAAGAAUGCCCUAUGGGUUGUAAACUGCUUUUAUUUGGGAAUAAACCUUUCUACGUGUAGAAAGCUGAAGGUACCAAAUGAAUAAGCACCGGCUAACUCCGUGCCAGCAGCCGCGGUAAUACGGAGGGUGCAAGCGUUAUCCGGAAUCAUUGGGUUUAAAGGGUCCGCAGGCGGAUUUAUAAGUCAGUGGUGAAAGCCUACAGCUUAACUGUAGAACUGCCAUUGAUACUGUAAGUCUUGAAUUCGGUCGAAGUGGGCGGAAUGUGUAGUGUAGCGGUGAAAUGCAUAGAUAUUACACAGAACACCGAUAGCGAAGGCAGCUCACUAGGCCUGGAUUGACGCUCAGGGACGAAAGCGUGGGGAUCAAACAGGAUUAGAUACCCUGGUAGUCCACGCUGUAAACGAUGAUUACUCGUUUUCGGCGAUAUACAGUCGGAGACUAAGCGAAAGUGAUAAGUAAUCCACCUGGGGAGUACGAUCGCAAGGUUGAAACUCAAAGGAAUUGACGGGGGCCCGCACAAGCGGUGGAGCAUGUGGUUUAAUUCGAUGAUACGCGAGGAACCUUACAGGGCUUAAAUGCAGUUGAAUGAUGUGGAAACAUGUC